CAGCAGCCGCGGGAAUACGAAGGGGGCUAGCGUUGCUCGGAAUCACUGGGCGUAAAGGGUGCGUAGGCGGGUCUUUAAGUCAGGGGUGAAAUCCUGGAGCUCAACUCCAGAACUGCCUCUGAUACUGAAGAUCUUGAGUUCGAGAGAAGUAAGUGGAACUGCGAGUGUAGAGGUGAAAUUCGUAGAUAUUCGCAAGAACACCAGUGGCGAAGGCGGCUUACUGGCUCGAAACUGACGCUGAGGCGCGAAAGCGUGGGGAGCAAACAGGAUUAGAGACCCGCGUAGUCCCUGUCUCUUAUAU
This 301-nucleotide ribosomal RNA is filed under the name uncultured bacterium. Its description in RNAcentral is "partial 16S ribosomal RNA". It matches the Rfam family "Bacterial small subunit ribosomal RNA", at positions 509 to 809 of the family's 1533-position model. The record is from RNAcentral.